CAGUCGCCGCGGUAAUACGAAGGGGGCUAGCGUUGUUCGGAAUUACUGGGCGUAAAGCGCACGUAGGCGGAUAUUUAAGUCAGGGGUGAAAUCCCGCAGCUCAACUGCGGAACUGCCUUUGAUACUGGGUAUCUUGAGUAUGGAAGAGGUUAGUGGAAUUGCGAGUGUAGAGGUGAAAUUCGUAGAUAUUCGCAGGAACACCAGUGGCGAAGGCGGCUAACUGGUCCAUAACUGACGCUGAGGAGCGAAAGCGUGGGGAGCGAACAGGAUUAGAGACCCCAGUAGUCCCUGUCUCUUAUAC
RNAcentral lists this ribosomal RNA (301 nucleotides) under uncultured bacterium. RNAcentral's name for it is "partial 16S ribosomal RNA". It matches the Rfam family "Bacterial small subunit ribosomal RNA", at positions 509 to 807 of the family's 1533-position model. The record is from RNAcentral.